This 506-nucleotide ribosomal RNA is filed under the name uncultured bacterium. RNAcentral describes it as "partial 16S ribosomal RNA". It matches the Rfam family "Bacterial small subunit ribosomal RNA", at positions 28 to 507 of the family's 1533-position model. The record is from RNAcentral.
GACGAACGCUGGCGGCGUGCUUAACACAUGCAAGUCGAACGGUGAAGGGACUGGUUUUGCUGGUCCUGGAUGAGUGGCGAACGGGUGAGUAACACGUGAGUAACCUGCCCCCUUCUUCUGGAUAACCGCAUGAAAGUGUGGCUAAUACGGGAUAUUCUGGGUCUGUCGCAUGGUGGGCCUGGGAAAGAUUGCGCCUUUUUUGGUGUUUUUGGUGGGGGAUGGGCUCGCGGCCUAUCAGCUUGUUGGUGGGGUGAUGGCCUACCAAGGCGGUGACGGGUAGCCGGCCUGAGAGGGGGGACGGUCACCCUGGGACUGAGACACGGCCAAGACUCCUCGGGGAGGCAGCAGUGGGAAAUAUGGCACAAGGGGCGCAAGCCUGAUGCAGCGACGCCGCGUGAGGGAUGGAGGCCUUCGGGUUGGGAACCUCUUUCGCCAGUGAAGCAGGCCUGCCUCUUUUUGUGGGUGGGUUGACGGUAGCUGGAUAAGAAGCGCCGGCUAACUACGUG